GGGAGGCCAAUUAAGAUAAAUCCAAAGUAUGGUGCAGCUACAGAUGUCCCUGUGUCUGCUGUUCAGGAAAAUGCAGGAUCCAGUAUGCAGACUGCACAGCAAGUGUGCAGACAAAUCCCUGUGUCUGCUGUUCAGGAAAAUGCAAGAACAGUU
Carassius auratus (goldfish) is the source of this 153-nucleotide long non-coding RNA. RefSeq lists it as uncharacterized. The transcript is spliced from 3 exons. The record is from RefSeq and is a predicted model, not a curated record. Lineage: Eukaryota; Metazoa; Chordata; Actinopteri; Cypriniformes; Cyprinidae.